ACACUGGUGGUUCAGUGGUAGAAUUCUCGCGUUCCAUGCAGGAUACCCAGGUUCGAUUCCUGGCCAAAGCA
This 71-nucleotide transfer RNA is filed under the name Loxodonta africana (African savanna elephant). It matches the Rfam family "tRNA". From Rfam's summary of the family: Transfer RNA (tRNA) molecules are approximately 80 nucleotides in length. Their secondary structure includes four short double-helical elements and three loops (D, anti-codon, and T loops). Further hydrogen bonds mediate the characteristic L-shaped molecular structure. tRNAs have two regions of fundamental functional importance: the anti-codon, which is responsible for specific mRNA codon recognition, and the 3' end, to which the tRNAs corresponding amino acid is attached (by aminoacyl-tRNA synthetases). tRNAs cope with the degeneracy of the genetic code in two manners: having more than one tRNA (with a specific anti-codon) for a particular amino acid; and 'wobble' base-pairing, i.e. permitting non-standard base-pairing at the 3rd anti-codon position. The record is from Rfam by way of RNAcentral. Lineage: Eukaryota; Metazoa; Chordata; Mammalia; Proboscidea; Elephantidae.